RNAcentral lists this ribosomal RNA (372 nucleotides) under uncultured organism. RNAcentral describes it as "partial 16S ribosomal RNA". It matches the Rfam family "Bacterial small subunit ribosomal RNA", at positions 527 to 896 of the family's 1533-position model. The record is from RNAcentral.
GUAGGUGGCAAGCGUUGUCCGGAAUUAUUGGGCGUAAAGCGCGCGCAGGCGGUUCUUUAAGUCUGAUGUGAAAGCCCACGGCUCAACCGUGGAGGGUCAUUGGAAACUGGAGAACUUGAGUACAGAAGAGGAAAGCGGAAUUCCACGUGUAGCGGUGCAAUGCGUAGAGGUGUGGAGGAACACCAGUGGCGAAGGCGGCUUUCUGGUCUGUAACUGACGCUGAGGCGCGAAAGCGUGGGGAGCAAACAGGAUUAGAUACCCUGGUAGUCCACGCCGUAAACGAUGAGUGCUAAGUGUUAGGGGGUUUCCGCCCCCCUUAGUGCUGCAGCUAACGCAUUAAGCACUCCGCCUGGGAGUACGGCCGCAAGGCUG